Molecule: ribosomal RNA, 253 nt
Filed under: uncultured bacterium
Lineage: Bacteria
Description: partial 16S ribosomal RNA
Rfam family: Bacterial small subunit ribosomal RNA
Source: RNAcentral
UACGGAGGGGGCUAGCGUUGUUCGGAAUUACUGGGCGUAAAGCGCACGUAGGCGGCUUUGUAAGUUAGAGGUGAAAGCCCAGGGCUCAACCCUGGAAUUGCCUUUAAGGCUGCAUCGCUUGAACAUCGGAGAGGUAAGUGGAAUUCCGAGUGUAGAGGUGAAAUUCGUAGAUAUCAAGCGGAACACCGGUGGCGAAGGCGGCCUUCUGGACAGUGACUGACGCUGAGACGCGAAAGCGUGGGGAGCAAACAGG